Molecule: small nuclear RNA, 156 nt
Organism: Oryctolagus cuniculus (rabbit)
Lineage: Eukaryota; Metazoa; Chordata; Mammalia; Lagomorpha; Leporidae
Gene: U2
Rfam family: U2 spliceosomal RNA
About the family: U2 is a small nuclear RNA (snRNA) component of the spliceosome (involved in pre-mRNA splicing). Complementary binding between U2 snRNA (in an area lying towards the 5' end but 3' to hairpin I) and the branchpoint sequence (BPS) of the intron results the bulging out of an unpaired adenosine, on the BPS, which initiates a nucleophilic attack at the intronic 5' splice site, thus starting the first of two transesterification reactions that mediate splicing.
Source: Ensembl
AUCGCCUCUCGGCCUUUUGGCUAAGAUCAAGUGUAAAACAUAGAUAUUCUUUCAACUUCAUAUUAGGAUAAACUUUAAUGAGUCAGAGUUUUUAAACAGCAGAGUGGUCUGGUAUUUGCAUAAAUGGAAAAAUUUAGAUAUAAUCAGACAACCCUC